GAUUUAUUUCAAUUGAAUGUGUGGGUAUGAUAGGUUUUUUCUUCAUCCCUUCUCCCUUUUCCCUGAAUUUAUCAUCAAGAUUUGGGCCAAUUUAAUUGGUUUUUUUUUUUUUUCUCUAAGAAUUUUGGAGCAGUAAUGUUGUGAAAUCUGAAUUGAAAUUUCGUAAUAGGCAGAUUCAAAUUGCAUAUCAAGCCACUUGCUUCGAUUUUUCCCCCAAUGGAAACCCCAUGUGAAAAUUUCCCAUUGAAGAAUCCCUUAGCAAGUUUGUAAUGCGAACCUUUAAUUUUUACGUAUUUAUUUAAUAUAUAGAAAAUUUGAUUUCAUGACAUAAAUCUUUGCACUCAUUCUGGUUUUUCAUUUAUGAUUGCUAGUGUAUCUUCUUUUUGUUCAAUGGCUUUGAAGUUCUAAAAUGCGUAAAUUAGUUAGUAUGGUGCGUAGAGGUGGAGGAUCCCAAUAUAUGUCAUUCAAUGAUAAAUUGACACACAUAGCAGUUGGAUCUCCUUUAGAGACGUAAUAAGUCCUUGACUCUUUUAAGCAAAAAGAUUAUUUGUAAAAAAAAUUUGGUUCUUUCUUUAAGCAAUUCUUUAAGGUCCCUUGCUAGUAUGGUGACUCAUGACAUUAAUGUGAUAUUCCUUUUAUUCACAUUGGCUCUCUGUUAUGCUUGCUGAGUUAGAGAAUAUCUUCCCUUAUUUGUAUUAGCUUCAUCUCUCACUUGCUUUUGUAAUUUCUUAGUGAGAAAAAGGAGGUAAGGAGCCUUGCAGCUUUGGGUGUUAUUUAUGUAGUUAAACGCACAUGGAGCUAGAAGAUUGAGAUUGCAAAAAAGGGCUGAAAUUGUUCAAUGGGUAAUUUAAGGAGGAGGAAAGGUAGUGGAUGAUCCUGUGAAACAAAAUAUGCACUUUACAUUUUCUACACAUGUAGAUGGACAAUGAAGCCAGUCAUCAACCAAAGGUGGAAGGUUUAAGGACAAGGUGGAUGCCAUCCAUCGACAAGAUAUUUGCAGACUUGGUUGUUAAGUAUAUACAACUUUUGAAAGAGCAAAUUAGUUUUAGUUGUUGAGAAAAUGUAGCUACAAUGUAUGGAUUCUAAUGUGUUAUUAUAGAGUUUUUAGCCAAAACAAAGUUAUUAGCAAAACUUGAUUCUAUGGCGAAACUUGAUUCAAUGGCGAAACUUAAUUCAUUC
Molecule: long non-coding RNA, 1179 nt
Organism: Quercus robur (English oak)
Lineage: Eukaryota; Viridiplantae; Streptophyta; Magnoliopsida; Fagales; Fagaceae
Exons: 2
Source: RefSeq, a predicted model, not a curated record